This is a non-coding RNA of Heterocephalus glaber (naked mole-rat), 1372 nucleotides long. Lineage: Eukaryota; Metazoa; Chordata; Mammalia; Rodentia; Bathyergidae. The record is from RefSeq and is a predicted model, not a curated record.
CCCACCCCCACCCAGAGCUGGUCGUUCGCGCGCGCGGGUGGGCGGGCGUAUUCCCGCCACGCGCCUCCACGAAGUCACGGAAGGUGGUUCACGUGGCAGCCAGUCUGUGCCUUCGCGGCUCACUCCCGUCUGUUUUUUACCACCUAAAGCAGGGGGUCCUUGUUUGCGUCUUUAUUCUUUUGGGGGGGGGGGUGGUUAGAGGGAGAAGGGACGUGGAGAGGUCACUUGGAAAGUUUGCUCUUUCCGCCGCUUACUGCCACUACAGCCACCAGAGAUGAGAUUCUCCCGCCCUCAGCUGGAAGCAAGGAAUUUGCACUGCCAGGGCUUUUGCUCCACGUUUCCUGUUUAUGUUGUGGAGAUGGGAAUUUUAGAAACAUGCCACCGAGCAGGCGGGGAGGGAGAGGCCUUUGCGCAAUCCUCAAGAGGCGCCUUGGGUUUCGGGGCUGGUUGAGUCGGAGGUGAUCAGCCUGGGCUUCCCCCGAGCGCCCGGGGAAGCUGGAUUCCUGCGAGGACGCGGCAUCCCCAAGAUCCUUCUGAACGGGAGUGGGUCGGUCCGGGGAGGCCCGCCCGCCUCGGCUGGCUUUUCGUGCAGCGGUCCCAGGAUUCCCAGGCAGCCGAAGCAGGUGGUAAAUUUCCGAGUUCCUUGCCGAAACAUGAAAUGGAAUGAAUUAGUGCUCUCAUCAUCCAAGUCCCUUGCUUCUUUGUUACACCUCUUAUUAAUCAUUUUGAAUUUUGCCUGAUGUGACCCACAAGGAGCCUAUUUUGUCACUUGCGUUUUGGGAAUCUCUAUGGUUUGGAAAUCACCGUGUUUGCUUAUCCUUAAUCACUAUUAAUUGAGGGUUUGAACUUAACGUUUACGUAUAAGUUUUCUUAGCAAAAUGUCUGGCGUAUAGUAUUAGUGAAUAAAUAAUACACUUUCGCCCCACUACAAGCAGGAAACUGCAGUGACUGUAAGUCCAGAGGGUUGGCGUCUGCCACCAAAGAGCCUAGUUCCCCUUCCUGCCACUUUCUUCAUCAGAUUGAGAGGGUUGCUCCGCGGUGGAAGAAAGGAAACUGAAGGAAUACGAGGACAAAAUGGAGCUGAUUACCAGUGAGAAGACUGAGCCCUUGUUCCUGCAGUGGGCUGUCAUGAGAGAGACCAGCCGCCUGACCCGGGCCACUGCAGGGGCUGUCAUGCAGCCAGCCAUCUGGCUGGAGGUUGGCCGGUUCUCCAGGUUGUACCUCACUGAUUCUCGGUAAGUCCCAAGCCCCCACCAGAGCCACAAUCUCGAAUCUGUCCCCUACCCUCACUUGGAUUGCAAGUCUACUCUGGUGCUGGACUAGAUGGGGAUGCUAGAGAGAGGACAUGACCAUGAGCAAGUAAACUAAGGAG